GCGGCUUAGUGUAAGGGUAACAUGCCCGUCUUCCUUUCUUUCUGAAAGGCAAUCAUAAGAUGGAUGUUUUCAGUUCAAAUCUGAAAGUCGCACCA
This 95-nucleotide transfer RNA is filed under the name Ferruginibacter sp. RNAcentral's name for it is "tRNA-OTHER". Lineage: Bacteria; Pseudomonadati; Bacteroidota; Chitinophagia; Chitinophagales; Chitinophagaceae. The record is from RNAcentral.